UCUAGGAUGGCAGGCUGUAGUGGACUCCAGAUGGUCUUCCUAGAUGGAAUCAAGACCUCUGGAAUUGUUAAGCUCUUGCUCUGCAUCUUGGUGACUCAUUCAAUAUGGUUUUUUUUCAGCUGCAGAGGGAUAAGUUGAGUGCCACAGAGCAACGGAGGAGGGGAGCGGAGCAGCGUAAGAAGGUACGAAGCAAGGAGCGAAGCGGGCCGUCGGUACUGGAGGUGACUUGGGCAAGGUGGAGCACGCAGCCUCGGAGGGGCGAAGUUGCAGGCUGAUGAGCAGUCUGAGAAGGCGCUGUGCGGGCCACCUUUGGAAUGGGAUGAGCGUUUGAGGUACUAUGAGAGAUGAUGGCUGCAGGGUGUGACUCUGGAAUGAGCAGAUGAUGAAGAGGAACCUGGCGACUGCUGGA
Molecule: long non-coding RNA, 409 nt
Organism: Aquila chrysaetos chrysaetos
Lineage: Eukaryota; Metazoa; Chordata; Aves; Accipitriformes; Accipitridae
Exons: 6
Source: RefSeq, a predicted model, not a curated record